UACGAAGGGGGGCUAGCGUUGCUCGGAAUCACUGGGCGUAAAGCGCACGUAGGCGGCUUUUUAAGUCAGGGGUGAAAUCCUGGAGCUCAACUCCAGAACUGCCUUUGAUACUGAAAAGCUUUGAGUCCGGGAGAGGUGAGUGGAACUGCGAGUGUAGAGGUGAAAUUCGUAGAUAUUCGCAAGAACACCAGUGGCGAAGGCGGCUCACUGGCCCGGUACUGACGCUGAGGUGCGAAAGCGUGGGGAGCAAACAGGG
Molecule: ribosomal RNA, 256 nt
Filed under: uncultured bacterium
Lineage: Bacteria
Description: partial 16S ribosomal RNA
Rfam family: Bacterial small subunit ribosomal RNA
Source: RNAcentral